UGAGCUAUUGUUGCUGUUGCUUCUGAACUACAAAAUGAUUUUUAAAUUUAUUAUUGAAUGAGACUGCAUAAAUGUAAUGCUUUAACUCUAGAUGUUUGUUUGUGUAAAUGCUGUGUGUGUGUUGAGUCCUGCGCGAGCGGGGAGCAGAGUUGCCAUGGAAACGGGGCAUCAACACAAAAACCGUUACUGGCAAGCAGUAAUCUCCGUCUCUCGCUGCAGUUUACACUGUUUUGGUCCUGUGCGAGCGGGGAGCAGAGUUGCCAUGGAAACGGGGCGUCAACACAAAAACCGUUACUGGCAAGCAGUAAUCUCCGUCUCUCGCUGCAGUUUACACUGUUUUGGAAACGGUUUAGUUUCUUCGAAAAAGUCCGUUAGCAUCUUAGCAGUUUUCAGGAGGACAGAAAGAAACUCUACAGAACAGAAGUGAAGCUCCAAGAUUUCAACAUUUCUGAAGGGAGAUUCUGACUUAGAAAUACAGGUGACCUGAAGAAGCUCAUGAAAAACAUGAAUAUGCCUUUUUCAGAAUACAUUUCACCAAUUUUAAGAAGUCCCUGACAUCAUAACCUUGUUUCCUUCUAAUGAACCUGGAACUGCAGAGUAAAUAUUGUUGACUCUGUGUCAGAUGGCUUGUUUUGUUCCUGGAUUCUUCAGUGAUGAUGAGCAGAGUCUGAGUGAACCUGCUGUCAGACAGGUUGGCCUGAUUGAUGAUGCCAUCGUCCAUCGCCGAUGGCUGAUAGACAUCACGAUGCUGCGCCGGAAACAGCGUCAUCAGCUCCAGUAUCUCGCCCGUGCAUCUGUUGUCAUGCGACAGAGAAGACACUUUCUAUAGACAGUUGUGAACGUGCUGACAGCUGGUUGCCCAGGCUAUGGAUUAAAGGUAAUACUGUUGGCCAGCAGAGCCCUGCUCACCCUGACGGCCCACCGCUGCUGUCAGACAACAUCUCCAAGAUGCUAUAAACUGCAGGACUAGAUGGCCAUCCCAAGGUUUCUAGAGAUUACAGCAGCUCCAGACUGAAUCCAAACUCACUCGUGAAGACUUCAGAUGACACCAACGCUCACAAAGACUACAGACGACAACUGUGCAUGAACACACAAAACAUUGGACACACAAAACAAAUAUUAUCCUUAUUUUGCCUAUAAGGGUAAAUUUGAUGAUUUUCAAACUGCUUUAUUGUAACGUCUCUUCUAUCUGUAAAUGAACAAUAUUUACUCUCUGAGUUGUGGACCUACAUGUCCCCUUUUAUUUGUAAGCAUCACUUUAAAAAUGUUGAAAGAUAAUGUUAAUGUUAACUGAAUACAAAACUAGAGACUUGUUUAGUAAGAUUUUAUCAGAAAAUAUUUUUGAACUUUUAUCAUGCAAUUUAAAACAUUUUAAUUGCUUAAUUAGUAUUGUUUGCCUGGUUUUAUUUUGUGUUUAUGUAACUCUUUUUAAAAAGUUCUUGGCAUAAAGUUCGCAUGCGAUGCUGACAGCACUGAACACAUGACUUUUUAUUAUGAACUAGAUGGUCUUCCCAGUGAGUCUCAGUCAUCUCUGGCUUUUUAAACUGUAACCUUGAAACAUGCAUUUCCUGUAAACCUACUUUGAAAUAAGUAUUGUCAAAAGGUGCUAUACUCAUACAACAUUUAACCAUGCAAGUACUGUAGUAAUGGUUAUUUUUGUUUUUACUAUGGGUUUACUGCAAAAGCUGUAGUAAAAUCAUGGUGAUUGUAGUAAAACUAUGGUUGAUUUUGUUUUUUCUAUGGUUUUACUGCAAAAGCUGUAGUAUAAUCAUGGUUAAUGUUCAAAAGACUACAAAUAAUCCCGAAUUAUCCACUUUUGAUCAAAGCAUCUGGUAAAUGUUAAUGUAUUUGUACAUGUAAUAGGAAAUAAAUGAAAAUAUUAAUAAA
Carassius gibelio (silver crucian carp) is the source of this 1887-nucleotide long non-coding RNA. RefSeq lists it as uncharacterized. The record is from RefSeq and is a predicted model, not a curated record. Lineage: Eukaryota; Metazoa; Chordata; Actinopteri; Cypriniformes; Cyprinidae. The transcript is spliced from 8 exons.